CAGCGGAGCGUGUGGUUAAUUCGAUGUUACAACGAGAACCUUACCAGGGUUUGACAUGCAAGUGGUAGGAAGCCGAAAGGUGACCGACCCUUCGGGGAGCUUGCACAGGUGCUGCAUGGCUGUCGUCAGCUCGUGUCGUGAGAUGUUCGGUUAAGUCCGCUAACGAGCGCAACCCUCGCUGUGUGUUAUAUGUGUCACACGGGACUGCCGGUCUUAAGCCGGAGGAAGGUGGGGAUGAUGUCAAGUCAGCAUGGCCUUUAUAUCCUGGGCUACACACACGCUACAAUGGCCAACACAAUAGGUUGCUAAGCCGCGAGGUGGCGCCAAUCCAUAAAGUUGGUCUCAGUUCAGAUUGUAGGCUGCAACCCGCCUGCAUGAAGAUGGAGUUGCUAGUAACCGCAGGUCAGCUAUACUGCGGUGAAUACGUUCCCGGGGCUU
RNAcentral lists this ribosomal RNA (438 nucleotides) under uncultured Leptolinea sp. Its description in RNAcentral is "bacterial SSU rRNA". It matches the Rfam family "Bacterial small subunit ribosomal RNA", at positions 930 to 1382 of the family's 1533-position model. Lineage: Bacteria; Bacillati; Chloroflexota; Anaerolineae; Anaerolineales; Anaerolineaceae. The record is from RNAcentral.